This 586-nucleotide ribosomal RNA is filed under the name uncultured bacterium. Its description in RNAcentral is "bacterial SSU rRNA". It matches the Rfam family "Bacterial small subunit ribosomal RNA", at positions 338 to 916 of the family's 1533-position model. The record is from RNAcentral.
CCUACGGGAGGCAGCAGUGGGGAAUAUUGGACAAUGGGCGCAAGCCUGAUCCAGCCAUACCGCGUGUGUGAAGAAGGCCUUCGGGUUGUAAAGCACUUUAAGCAGGGAGAAAAAGUUAUAAGUUAAUACCUUAUAACCGUGAUGUUACCUGCAGAAUAAGCACCGGCUAAUUCCGUGCCAGCAGCCGCGGUAAUACGGAAGGUGCAAGCGUUAAUCGGAAUUACUGGGCGUAAAGCGCGCGUAGGUGGUUUGUUAAGUUGGAUGUGAAAGCCCUGGGCUCAACCUAGGAACCGCAUCCAAAACUAACUCACUAGAGUACGAUAGAGGGAGGUAGAAUUCAUAGUGUAGCGGUGGAAUGCGUAGAUAUUAUGAAGAAUACCAGUGGCGAAGGCGGCCUCCUGGAUCUGUACUGACACUGAGGUGCGAAAGCGUGGGUAGCGAACGGGAUUAGAUACCCUGGUAGUCCACGCCGUAAACGAUGACAACUAGCUGUUGGAAGACAACGUCUUUCAGUGGCGCAGCUAACGUUUUAAGUUGUCCGCCUGGGGAGUACGGCCGCAAGGCUAAAACUCAAAUGAAUUGACGG